UUCUGCCUCAGCUCUGAGCCCCUCAGAGUGGGGCCAGGGAAGAAGCAGACGGCAACGCCAGGGCAGCUGUCUGGCAGCCUGGAAGGCCUGCGAAGCUUCCUAGGGGUCCGAAGGAGGGUAGACAGGCACGGGGCUCACCACAAUCCUUCGGAUGGAACCACAGGAAGAGAAGAAGCAUGUUUCACCCUGGGCUGGGGGUGCUUCCCAAAGCCACUGGGGCCCUUUUCCCAAGCCCCAGAACUGAGCCCACCUGAACUCAUCUUGAAAUUAGCCAGGCGUGGUGGCGGGCGCCUGGAAUCCCAGCUACUCGGGAGGCUGAGGCAGGAAAAUCGCUUGAACUAGAGAGGCGGAGGUGGCAGUGAGCGGAGAUCACGGCAUUGCACUCCAGCCUGGGCGACAGGGUGAGACUACAUCUCAAAAACAAAAAACUAAAAUAAUAAAAUUUUACAGGAAGAGAAACUAUGGCCACAGUGGGGAGUGGCAUGACUCCCUAAGCAAGUUCAGGUCAGACAGGGCAAAGAAUUCUGACUGCAGGGAGGAGGAAUGGCUGGUUUUCCAGAGAUAGAUCAGAACAACAGAAGCUCCCUGUGCUCCAGCCUCGGCUGUGGUGCACUGACCUCUCACCCCAGGCAGGCUGAAGAGGAAACCCCUGCAGAGGUGGCCUUGGACACCUGGUUCCUGGAAGCAGCUGGCUGCCGUCAUCUGCAGGGCCUGCAGUUCCACCGCACCCUAUGGCCCCCUGGGGUCACAGCCUCCCACAUCCGCUAACCAGCCUCAUCACUUGUUUCCGCCAGCAAACCACACUAGGGUCAGUGGAGGACAAAGGUCUCAGGAGCUGAGCACGUCGGGCUGCCGUGAGGCUGACAGAAGCAGCCCAGCAGAGCCCUGGCCAGCCAGGGUGCCAGCU
Molecule: long non-coding RNA, 907 nt
Filed under: Homo sapiens (human)
Lineage: Eukaryota; Metazoa; Chordata; Mammalia; Primates; Hominidae
Description: HSALNT0068143
Source: RNAcentral